RNAcentral lists this long non-coding RNA (1284 nucleotides) under Gallus gallus (chicken). RNAcentral's name for it is "lncRNA (ENSGALG00010022016.1)". The record is from RNAcentral. Lineage: Eukaryota; Metazoa; Chordata; Aves; Galliformes; Phasianidae.
AGAUGGUUAAACACAGAAUAGAAAGGUUAACUGCCUUGCCCACGGCUGCUCACUAAGUUACCUGCUCUGUUGGGAGUGAGAACCCAGACCUGAAUCAUCAGUCCUGUAAGCAGAAAAAUCUCUCCCUUCAUACACCACAGAAACAGAACACUCCCAUACCAAACACAACCCUCAAGAGAUUAACGUCAUCCUUCAGGGAUUCAGCUGAGAAGCAACACUGCCAAGCUCUGGUGCAGUGUUCUGUAGGAGGUUCUACAGUUUUUGCUUUAAAAAAGAUUAUUUUUUGAAGCUGUGGGCAGUACACCUUCGUUCAGACCUGCUUCAGAAUUAUAGCACUGCUGGAAACAUAAUUUACAAUUAGAUUUUGAAAAUUCCCAACCUCCAGUUACUCAGUGGUUAAGAAACAAUAUGGAAUAUUUGUAUACAUUGCUCCUCUGUCACUUUCUACACAAAGCCUUAUCUGAAGCUAGUUAAUACAACAACAUUUAGGACUUGCUAUGGGAAGAAAGCAGUGAAAGCACUCAUAGAGCAACAUACUCUUGUUCUACCAUGUGAAGAUACAGAAGUUCUGAUUUCAUGCUGCUGUUCCACACCUCCAAUGUCAGCAUAUAGGCUUUAACAUCACCGUGUUGAAAUUGAGGCAAAUACUCAACAAAUAAUUUAUGGUCACCUCCAAAAAUAUUAUUCCAUCAUCUAAUGAUCUCUCAUUCUUCUCCUUAGUGAUAUUUCUCUGGUUAACCUUUUAUAAAACCAGUAGGUGCCAUGUUUAUAUUUGGAGCCUGGGGAAGUGGUGGUAGGGUGGUGACGCACUGAACAGGUUGCCCAAGGAGGCUGUGGAUGCCCCAUCCCUGCAGGCAUUCAAGGCCAGGCUGGAUGUGGCUCUGGGCAGCCUGGGCUGCUGGUUGGCGACCCUACACAUAGCAGGGGGGUUGAAAUGAGAUGAUCGUUGUGGUCCUUUUCAGCCCAGGCCAUUCCAUGAUUCUAUGGAAUAUUUCUCCAUCUUCAAUAAUAGUUUAUAUUGUUAAUAACAGCAUCUCUGUGCAUUCGCCCAGCUGACCAAGAUGACCGUAAGGGAUUUAUUCUGGUCAUUUCCUUCCGUGACCCAAAUUCACAUUUGCAGCCAGAUCUUGAAAGGAUAAAGAGUAAUACUUUAACCCACUGCAGAUUGCAAACCUAAUCUACUCUUAAGAGAGUGACAGUCACUCAAUUUGAGAAAAACUGGUGAGCAAAAAUAGACUAGAACUGUUUGUCAAAUACACUCACAGUCAUUUUAUUUAUUCCCUG